RNAcentral lists this ribosomal RNA (394 nucleotides) under uncultured bacterium. RNAcentral describes it as "partial 16S ribosomal RNA". It matches the Rfam family "Bacterial small subunit ribosomal RNA", at positions 523 to 918 of the family's 1533-position model. The record is from RNAcentral.
ACACGUAGGGGGCGAGCGUUGUUCGGAAUCAUUGGGCGUAAAGGGCGUGCAGGCGGUCCUGCAAGUCCGGCGUGAAAGCCCCCGGCACAACCGGGGGGAUGCGCUGGAAACUGCCGGGCUUGAGUACAGGAGGGGGUGCCGGAAUUCCCGGUGUAGGGGUGAAAUCUGUAGAUAUCUGGAAGAACACCAUUGGCGAAGGCAGGCAUCUGGUCAUGUACUGACGCUGAGACGCGAAGGUGCGGGGAGCAAACAGGUUUAGAUACCCUGGUAGUCCGCACAGUAAACGAUGUGCACCAGGUGGCGGGGGGUCGACCCUCGGUACCGUAGCUAACGCAUUAAGUGCACCGCCUGGGGAGUAUGCUCGCAAGGGUGAAACUCAAAGGAAUUGACGGGG